RNAcentral lists this ribosomal RNA (755 nucleotides) under Salmonella enterica. Its description in RNAcentral is "partial 23S ribosomal RNA". It matches the Rfam family "Bacterial large subunit ribosomal RNA", at positions 1 to 688 of the family's 2925-position model. The record is from RNAcentral. Lineage: Bacteria; Pseudomonadati; Pseudomonadota; Gammaproteobacteria; Enterobacterales; Enterobacteriaceae. RNAcentral also lists the same sequence under 1 other name.
GGGUUGUGAGGUUAAGCGACUAAGCGUACACGGUGGAUGCCCUGGCAGUCAGAGGCGAUGAAGGGCGUGCUAAUCUGCGAUAAGCGCCGGUAAGGUGAUAUGAACCGUUAUAACCGGCGAUACCCGAAUGGGGAAACCCAGUGUGAUUCGUCACACUAUCAUUAACUGAAUCCAUAGGUUAAUGAGGCGAACCGGGGGAACUGAAACAUCUAAGUACCCCGAGGAAAAGAAAUCAACCGAGAUUCCCCCAGUAGCGGCGAGCGAACGGGGAGGAGCCCAGAGCCUGAAUCAGCAUGUGUGUUAGUGGAAGCGUCUGGAAAGGCGCGCGAUACAGGGUGACAGCCCCGUACACAAAAGCGCAUGUGCUGUGAGCUCGAUGAGUAGGGCGGGACACGUGGUAUCCUGUCUGAAUAUGGGGGGACCAUCCUCCAAGGCUAAAUACUCCUGACUGACCGAUAGUGAACCAGUACCGUGAGGGAAAGGCGAAAAGAACCCCGGCGAGGGGAGUGAAAAAGAACCUGAAACCGUGUACGUACAAGCAGUGGGAGCCCCACCACUAAGCCAGUGGUGGACUCCACAUACGCAUCCUUUGCUGAGGAUACGGUUAACGGAGCGAAAGCGACGUUCAACCUCAAAAGAAGCAGAGGGGGCUUAGUGGUGGGGUGACUGCGUACCUUUUGUAUAAUGGGUCAGCGACUUAUAUUCUGUAGCAAGGUUAACCGAAUAGGGGAGCCGGAGGGAAACCGAGUCUUAAC